GCCAGCAUGGUGGGGCAUGCCUGAAGUCCCAGCUACUCUGGAGGCUGAGGCAGGAGGAUCUCUUAAGGCGGGGAGUUCUGGGCUACUGUAGUGUGAUAUGCCAAUCAGUGUCCACACUAAGUUCUACAUCAAUAUGGUGACCUCCCAAGGACAAGGGACCACCAGGUUGCCUAAGGAAGGGUGAACUGCCCCAGGUUGGAAAUGGAGCAGGUCAAAACUCCCAUGCUAGGCCGGGCGCAGUGGUUCAAGCCUUUAAUCCUAGCACUCU
This 268-nucleotide signal recognition particle RNA is filed under the name Microcebus murinus (gray mouse lemur). Its description in RNAcentral is "Metazoan signal recognition particle RNA (ENSMICG00000036402.2)". It matches the Rfam family "Metazoan signal recognition particle RNA", at positions 1 to 261 of the family's 299-position model. From Rfam's summary of the family: The signal recognition particle (SRP) is a universally conserved ribonucleoprotein. Lineage: Eukaryota; Metazoa; Chordata; Mammalia; Primates; Cheirogaleidae. The record is from RNAcentral.